GGGUUGUGAGGUUAAGCGACUAAGCGUACACGGUGGAUGCCCUGGCAGUCAGAGGCGAUGAAGGACGUGCUAAUCUGCGAUAAGCGUCGGUAAGGUGAUAUGAACCGUUAUAACCGGCGAUUUCCGAAUGGGGAAACCCAGUGUGAUUCGUCACACUAUCAUUAACUGAAUCCAUAGGUUAAUGAGGCGAACCGGGGGAACUGAAACAUCUAAGUACCCCGAGGAAAAGAAAUCAACCGAGAUUCCCCCAGUAGCGGCGAGCGAACGGGGAGCAGCCCAGAGCCUGAAUCAGUGUGUGUGUUAGUGGAAGCGUCUGGAAAGGCGCGCGAUACAGGGUGACAGCCCCGUACACAAAAAUGCACAUGCUGUGAGCUCGAUGAGUAGGGCGGGACACGUGGUAUCCUGUCUGAAUAUGGGGGGACCAUCCUCCAAGGCUAAAUACUCCUGACUGACCGAUAGUGAACCAGUACCGUGAGGGAAAGGCGAAAAGAACCCCGGCGAGGGGAGUGAAAAAGAACCUGAAACCGUGUACGUACAAGCAGUGGGAGCACAGAGCAAUCUGUGUGACUGCGUACCUUUUGUAUAAUGGGUCAGCGACUUAUAUUCUGUAGCAAGGUUAACCGAAUAGGGGAGCCGAAGGGAAACCGAGUCUUAACUGGGCGUUAAGUUGCAGGGUAUAGACCCGAAACCCGGUGAUCUAGCCAUGGGCAGGUUGAAGGUUGGGUAACACUAACUGGAGGACCGAACCGACUAAUGUUGAAAAAUUAGCGGAUGACUUGUGGCUGGGGGUGAAAGGCCAAUCAAACCGGGAGAUAGCUGGUUCUCCCCGAAAGCUAUUUAGGUAGCGCCUCGUGAAUUCAUCUCCGGGGGUAGAGCACUGUUUCGGCAAGGGGGUCAUCCCGACUUACCAACCCGAUGCAAACUGCGAAUACCGGAGAAUGUUAUCACGGGAGACACACGGCGGGUGCUAACGUCCGUCGUGAAGAGGGAAACAACCCAGACCGCCAGCUAAGGUCCCAAAGUCAUGGUUAAGUGGGAAACGAUGUGGGAAGGCCCAGACAGCCAGGAUGUUGGCUUAGAAGCAGCCAUCAUUUAAAGAAAGCGUAAUAGCUCACUGGUCGAGUCGGCCUGCGCGGAAGAUGUAACGGGGCUAAACCAUGCACCGAAGCUGCGGCAGCGACACUGUGUGUUGUUGGGUAGGGGAGCGUUCUGUAAGCCUGCGAAGGUGUGCUGUGAGGCAUGCUGGAGGUAUCAGAAGUGCGAAUGCUGACAUAAGUAACGAUAAAGCGGGUGAAAAGCCCGCUCGCCGGAAGACCAAGGGUUCCUGUCCAACGUUAAUCGGGGCAGGGUGAGUCGACCCCUAAGGCGAGGCCGAAAGGCGUAGUCGAUGGGAAACAGGUUAAUAUUCCUGUACUUGGUGUUACUGCGAAGGGGGGACGGAGAAGGCUAUGUUGGCCGGGCGACGGUUGUCCCGGUUUAAGCGUGUAGGCUGGUUUUCCAGGCAAAUCCGGAAAAUCAAGGCUGAGGCGUGAUGACGAGGCACUACGGUGCUGAAGCAACAAAUGCCCUGCUUCCAGGAAAAGCCUCUAAGCAUCAGGUAACAUCAAAUCGUACCCCAAACCGACACAGGUGGUCAGGUAGAGAAUACCAAGGCGCUUGAGAGAACUCGGGUGAAGGAACUAGGCAAAAUGGUGCCGUAACUUCGGGAGAAGGCACGCUGAUAUGUAGGUGAAGUCCCUCGCGGAUGGAGCUGAAAUCAGUCGAAGAUACCAGCUGGCUGCAACUGUUUAUUAAAAACACAGCACUGUGCAAACACGAAAGUGGACGUAUACGGUGUGACGCCUGCCCGGUGCCGGAAGGUUAAUUGAUGGGGUCAGCGCAAGCGAAGCUCUUGAUCGAAGCCCCGGUAAACGGCGGCCGUAACUAUAACGGUCCUAAGGUAGCGAAAUUCCUUGUCGGGUAAGUUCCGACCUGCACGAAUGGCGUAAUGAUGGCCAGGCUGUCUCCACCCGAGACUCAGUGAAAUUGAACUCGCUGUGAAGAUGCAGUGUACCCGCGGCAAGACGGAAAGACCCCGUGAACCUUUACUAUAGCUUGACACUGAACAUUGAGCCUUGAUGUGUAGGAUAGGUGGGAGGCUUUGAAGUGUGGACGCCAGUCUGCAUGGAGCCGGCCUUGAAAUACCACCCUUUAAUGUUUGAUGUUCUAACGUUGACCCGUAAUCCGGGUUGCGGACAGUGUCUGGUGGGUAGUUUGACUGGGGCGGUCUCCUCCUAAAGAGUAACGGAGGAGCACGAAGGUUGGCUAAUCCUGGUCGGACAUCAGGAGGUUAGUGCAAUGGCAUAAGCCAGCUUGACUGCGAGCGUGACGGCGCGAGCAGGUGCGAAAGCAGGUCAUAGUGAUCCGGUGGUUCUGAAUGGAAGGGCCAUCGCUCAACGGAUAAAAGGUACUCCGGGGAUAACAGGCUGAUACCGCCCAAGAGUUCAUAUCGACGGCGGUGUUUGGCACCUCGAUGUCGGCUCAUCACAUCCUGGGGCUGAAGUAGGUCCCAAGGGUAUGGCUGUUCGCCAUUUAAAGUGGUACGCGAGCUGGGUUUAGAACGUCGUGAGACAGUUCGGUCCCUAUCUGCCGUGGGCGCUGGAGAACUGAGGGGGGCUGCUCCUAGUACGAGAGGACCGGAGUGGACGCAUCACUGGUGUUCGGGUUGUCAUGCCAAUGGCACUGCCCGGUAGCUAAAUGCGGAAGAGAUAAGUGCUGAAAGCAUCUAAGCACGAAACUUGCCCCGAGAUGAGUUCUCCCUGACUCCUUGAGAGUCCUGAAGGAACGUUGAAGACGACGACGUUGAUAGGCCGGGUGUGUAAGCGCAGCGAUGCGUUGAGCUAACCGGUACUAAUGAACCGUGAGGCUUAACCUUACAACGCCGAAGCUGUU
RNAcentral lists this ribosomal RNA (2931 nucleotides) under Escherichia coli. Its description in RNAcentral is "23S ribosomal RNA". It matches the Rfam family "Bacterial large subunit ribosomal RNA". The record is from RNAcentral. Lineage: Bacteria; Pseudomonadati; Pseudomonadota; Gammaproteobacteria; Enterobacterales; Enterobacteriaceae.